GAUGAACGCUGGCGGCGUGCCUAAUACAUGCAAGUCGAGCGAACAGAUGAGGAGCUUGCUCCUCUGACGUUAGCGGCGGACGGGUGAGUAACACGUGGAUAACCUACCUAUAAGACUGGGAUAACUUCGGGAAACCGGAGCUAAUACCGGAUAAUAUAUUGAACCGCAUGGUUCAAUAGUGAAAGACGGUUUUGCUGUCACUUAUAGAUGGAUCCGCGCCGCAUUAGCUAGUUGGUAAGGUAACGGCUUACCAAGGCAACGAUCCGUAGCCGACCUGAGAGGGUGAUCGGCCACACUGGAACUGAGACACGGUCCAGACUCCUACGGGAGGCAGCAGUAGGGAAUCUUCCGCAAAGGGCGAAAGCCUGACGGAGCAACGCCGCGUGAGUGAUGAAGGUCUUCGGAUCGUAAAACUCUGUUAUUAGGGAAGAACAAAUGUGUAAGUAACUAUGCACGUCUUGACGGUACCUAAUCAGAAAGCCACGGCUAACUACGUG
This 497-nucleotide ribosomal RNA is filed under the name uncultured bacterium. RNAcentral's name for it is "partial 16S ribosomal RNA". It matches the Rfam family "Bacterial small subunit ribosomal RNA", at positions 28 to 507 of the family's 1533-position model. The record is from RNAcentral.